This 468-nucleotide ribosomal RNA is filed under the name uncultured bacterium. RNAcentral describes it as "partial 16S ribosomal RNA". It matches the Rfam family "Bacterial small subunit ribosomal RNA", at positions 28 to 507 of the family's 1533-position model. The record is from RNAcentral.
GACGAACGCUGGCGGCGUGCUUAACACAUGCAAGUCGAACGGAAAGGCCCUGCUUUUGUGGGGUGCUCGAGUGGCGAACGGGUGAGUAACACGUGAGUAACCUGCCCUUGACUUUGGGAUAACUUCAGGAAACUGGGGCUAAUACCGGAUAGGAGCUCCUGCUGCAUGGUGGGGGUUGGAAAGUUUCGGCGGUUGGGGAUGGACUCGCUGCUUAUCGGCUUGUUGGGGUGGUAGUGGCUUACCAAGGCUUUGACGGGUAGCCGGCCUGGGAGGGUGACCGGCCACAUUGGGACUGAGAUACGGCGCAGACGCCUACGGGAGGCAGCAGUGGAGAAUAUUGCACAAUGGGCGGAAGCCUGAUGCAGCAACGCCGCGUGCGGGAUGACGGCCUUCGGGUUGUAAACCGAUUUCGCCUGUGACGAAGCGUGAGUGACGGUAAUGGGUAAAGAAGCACCGGCUAACUACGUG